RNAcentral lists this ribosomal RNA (254 nucleotides) under uncultured bacterium. RNAcentral's name for it is "partial 16S ribosomal RNA". It matches the Rfam family "Bacterial small subunit ribosomal RNA", at positions 524 to 776 of the family's 1533-position model. The record is from RNAcentral.
UACGUAGGGUGCAAGCGUUGUCCGGAAUUAUUGGGCGUAAAGAGCUCGUAGGCGGUUUGUCGCGUCGGCUGUGAAAACCCGGGGGCUCAACCCCGGGCCUGCAGUCGAUACGGGCAAACUAGAGUGCGGUAGGGGAGACUGGAAUUCCUGGUGUAGCGGUGAAAUGCGCAGAUAUCAGGAGGAACACCGGUGGCGAAGGCGGGUCUCUGGGCCGUAACUGACGCUGAGGAGCGAAAGCGUGGGGAGCGAACAGG